UCUUGCUUCGGCACAUACUGACUAAAAUUGGAACUAUAUAGAGAAGAUUAGCAUGGCCCCUGGGCAAGGAUGACACGCAAAAUUAUUGAACAAAACAAGAUACGU
Leptonychotes weddellii (Weddell seal) is the source of this 105-nucleotide small nuclear RNA. NCBI's taxonomy places the organism in Eukaryota, Metazoa, Chordata, Mammalia, Carnivora, Phocidae. The record is from RefSeq and is a predicted model, not a curated record.